Molecule: long non-coding RNA, 748 nt
Organism: Ostrinia nubilalis (European corn borer)
Lineage: Eukaryota; Metazoa; Arthropoda; Insecta; Lepidoptera; Crambidae
Exons: 2
Source: RefSeq, a predicted model, not a curated record
GUUUUUUUUUUAGGCUUGGUGGAAACGGUAAAAUAGCAUUAUUGACACGUCAUUUUUGUCACACGUCAGAAAUUGUUAUUUUUGAGGUUAGAUCAAUACAACAAAAAUUGUAUUUAUUAAGAAAUCUAUGAAUUUCGUUCGUAUUAUAACAUUGUGAUGAUUAGCUGUAAAGUUUUGCUGCUUUUGGUUGUAAUCGACCAAGUUCUAAGUGAUGAAAAUAUUGCUUUAGUGCAGUACUCAAAUCCGUUUCACGUUGCUGAUUCCCUGAUAAUAUACCCAAAAAUACAGAACUAAAAAUGACUUCAACUGAAAAUUUAUCAGAUCAAGACAAAGACUUCUUGGCUAAAUGUGAAGAGGAAUUGAAAGACAGAUACACUGAUAAAGAUGAAGAAUUCAUGAAAGUAUUUAAUGCUGAACCCUCUAUUCCUCCCAUAAUUAAGUCCUGGUGGGUGCCUCAAAACUCGGGCCGAAGAAACGAUCGUCGUAAUAACAGGCGUCAUCAUCCGUACGAGCGACACAACAGGGACUAUGACCGACGGGAACAAAGUGACAGAAGAGAUAACUAUAACAGGAGAGACAACUAUGAGAGGAGAGAUAAUUAUGAACGGAGAGGAUACAAUGACUACGAUCGGGGAGGAUAUGACAACCGCGGAGGAGGCUCCCGAUUUUAUCGUAAUUGAUAUCAAUUAUUCCUUAAGUACAAUGUAUUAGGUAUUCAGCAAAUAAAAUAUAUGAUUUCUCAAAAGAA